UUGGAGGGCAAGUCUGGUGCCAGCAGCCGCGGUAAUUCCAGCUCCAAUAGCGUAUAUUAAAGUUGUUGCAGUUAAAAAGCUCGUAGUUGAAUUUCGGGAUCAGAGAGUCGGUCGUGCCUCGGUACGCACUGGUAUUAUUGGUUCCUACCUUCUGAAGAACCGCGAUGUCAUUAAUUUGGUGUCGUGGGGAAUCAGGACUGUUACUUUGAAAAAAUUAGAGUGUUUAAAGCAGGCUUACGCUUGAAUACAUUAGCAUGGAAUAAUGAAAUAGGACGUUUGAUUCUAUUUUGUUGGUUUCUAGGAUUGACGUAAUGAUUAAUAGGGAUAGUUGGGGGCAUUAGUAUUCAAUUGUCAGAGGUGAAAUUCUUGGAUUUAUUGAAGACUAACUACUGCGAAAGCAUUUGCCAAGGAUGUUUUCAUUAAUCAAGAACGAAAGUUAGGGGAUCGAAGACGAUCAGAUACCGUCGUAGUCUUAACCAUAAACUAUGCCGACUAGGGAUCGGAUGAUGUUAAUUUUUUAAUGACUCAUUCGGCGCCUUACGGGAAACCAAAGUGUUUGGGUUC
RNAcentral lists this ribosomal RNA (564 nucleotides) under uncultured Glomeromycotina. Its description in RNAcentral is "SSU rRNA". It matches the Rfam family "Eukaryotic small subunit ribosomal RNA", at positions 548 to 1114 of the family's 1831-position model. The record is from RNAcentral. Lineage: Eukaryota; Fungi; Glomeromycota.